This 253-nucleotide ribosomal RNA is filed under the name uncultured bacterium. RNAcentral describes it as "partial 16S ribosomal RNA". It matches the Rfam family "Bacterial small subunit ribosomal RNA", at positions 524 to 776 of the family's 1533-position model. The record is from RNAcentral.
UACAUGGGGUGCAAACGUUGCUCGGAAUUAUUGGGCGUAAAGCGCACGUAGGCGGUUCGUUAAGUCGGAUGUGAAAGCCCUCGGCUCAACUGAGGAAGUGCACCCGAAACUGGCGAGCUUGAGUACGAAAGAGGAUCGCGGAAUUCCCGGUGUAGAGGUGAAAUUCGUAGAUAUCGGGAGGAACACCGGCGGCGAAGGCGGCGAUCUGGGUCGAUACUGACGCUGAGGUGCGAAAGCGUGGGGGGCAAACAGG